Molecule: ribosomal RNA, 253 nt
Filed under: uncultured bacterium
Lineage: Bacteria
Description: partial 16S ribosomal RNA
Rfam family: Bacterial small subunit ribosomal RNA
Source: RNAcentral
UACGAACGGUCCUAACGUUGUUCGGAAUCACUGGGCUUAAAGGGCGCGUAGGCGGUCGAACAAGUCAGGGGUGAAAUCCUACAGCUUAACUGUAGAAGUGCCUUUGAUACUGUUUGUCUUGAGGGAGAUAGGGGUGUGCGGAACUUCCAGUGGAGCGGUGAAAUGCGUUGAUAUUGGAAGGAACGCCGGGGGCGAAAGCGGCGCACUGGAUCUCUUCUGACGCUGAGGCGCGAAAGCUAGGGGAGCAAACGGG